UACGUAGGGGGCAAGCGUUGUCCGGAUUCAUUGGGCGUAAAGGGUGCGUAGGUGGCGUCGUAAGUCGGGUGUGAAAUCUCGGGGCUUAACUCCGAAACUGCAUUCGAUACUGCGGUGCUUGAGGACUGGAGAGGAGACUGGAAUUUACGGUGUAGCAGUGAAAUGCGUAGAGAUCGUAAGGAAGACCAGUGGCGAAGGCGGGUCUCUGGAAAGUUCCUGACACUGAGGCACGAAGGCCAGGGGAGCAAACGGG
This 253-nucleotide ribosomal RNA is filed under the name uncultured bacterium. RNAcentral describes it as "partial 16S ribosomal RNA". It matches the Rfam family "Bacterial small subunit ribosomal RNA", at positions 524 to 776 of the family's 1533-position model. The record is from RNAcentral.